This is a small nucleolar RNA of Manis pentadactyla (Chinese pangolin), 71 nucleotides long. RefSeq annotates it as small nucleolar RNA SNORD113/SNORD114 family. NCBI's taxonomy places the organism in Eukaryota, Metazoa, Chordata, Mammalia, Pholidota, Manidae. The transcript has a single exon. The record is from RefSeq and is a predicted model, not a curated record.
UGGACCGAUGAUGAAUAUCCUGGGGUUUCUGAAUCAAUGAUUUUGAUUAAACCCUAUGACCUGAGGUCAGC